This 469-nucleotide ribosomal RNA is filed under the name uncultured bacterium. RNAcentral's name for it is "bacterial SSU rRNA". It matches the Rfam family "Bacterial small subunit ribosomal RNA", at positions 26 to 507 of the family's 1533-position model. The record is from RNAcentral.
AGGACGAACGCUGGCGGCGUGCCUAACACAUGCAAGUCGAACGAGGUCCAAGGAAGCUUGCUUCCUGAAGAUCUAGUGGCGAACGGGUGAGUAACACGUGAGAAACCUGCCUCGGAGUGGGGAAUAACUCGGGGAAACUCGAGCUAAUACCGCAUACCUUCACAUGAUCGCAUGGUCGAGUGAAGAAAGAAUUUCGCUCUGAGAGGGUCUCGCGGCCUAUCAGCUUGUUGGUGGGGUAACGGCCUACCAAGGCAACGACGGGUAGCUGGUUUGAGAGAACGAUCAGCCACACUGGGACUGAGACACGGCCCAGACUCCUACGGGAGGCAGCAGUGGGGAAUCUUGCGCAAUGGGCGAAAGCCUGACGCAGCAACGCCGCGUGCGGGAUGACGGCCUUCGUGGUUGUAAACCGCUUUCAGCAGGGACGAAAAUGACGGUACCUGCAGAAGAAGCCCCGGCUAACUACGUG